UACGUAGGGGGCAAGCGUUGUCCGGAUUUAUUGGGCGUAAAGAGCGUGUAGGCGGUCAUGUAGGUCCGUUGUGAAAACCCGGGGCUCAACCCCGGGCCUGCAGCCGAUACGGGCAGACUAGAGUUCGGCAGGGGAGACUGGAAUUCCUGGUGUAGCGGUGAAAUGCGCAGAUAUCAGGAGGAACACCGGUGGCGAAGGCGGGUCUCUGGGCAGUAACUGACGCUGAGGAGCGAAAGCGUGGGGAGCGAACAGG
This 253-nucleotide ribosomal RNA is filed under the name uncultured bacterium. RNAcentral describes it as "partial 16S ribosomal RNA". It matches the Rfam family "Bacterial small subunit ribosomal RNA", at positions 524 to 776 of the family's 1533-position model. The record is from RNAcentral.